Molecule: ribosomal RNA, 253 nt
Filed under: uncultured bacterium
Lineage: Bacteria
Description: partial 16S ribosomal RNA
Rfam family: Bacterial small subunit ribosomal RNA
Source: RNAcentral
UACGUAGGGACCGAGCGUUGUCCGGAAUCAUUGGGCGUAAAGAGCUCGUAGGCGGUUUGUUGCGUCGGCUGUGAAAUCCCGAGGCUCAACCUCGGGUCUGCAGUCGAUACGAGCAAACUAGAGUGUUGCAGGGGAGACUGGAAUUCCUGGUGUAGCGGUGAAAUGCGCAGAUAUCAGGAGGAACACCGGUGGCGAAGGCGGGUCUCUGGGCAACAACUGACGCUGAGGAGCGAAAGCGUGGGGAGCGAACAGG